AACGAACGCUGGCGGCAUGCCUAACACAUGCAAGUCGAACGAGACCUUCGGGUCUAGUGGCGCACGGGUGCGUAACGCGUGGGAACCUGCCCUUAGGUUCGGAAUAACUCCCCGAAAGGGGUGCUAAUACCGGAUAAUGUCUUCGGACCAAAGAUUUAUCGCCUUUGGAUGGGCCCGCGUUGGAUUAGCUAGUUGGUAGGGUAAAAGCCUACCAAGGCGACGAUCCAUAGCUGGUCUGAGAGGAUGAUCAGCCACACUGGGACUGAGACACGGCCCAGACUCCUACGGGAGGCAGCAGUGGGGAAUAUUGGACAAUGGGCGAAAGCCUGAUCCAGAAAUGCCGCGUGAGUGAUGAAGGCCUUAGGGUUGUAAAGCUCUUUUACCCGGGAUGAUAAUGACAGUACCGGGAGAAUAAGCGCCGGCUAACUCCGUG
This 433-nucleotide ribosomal RNA is filed under the name uncultured bacterium. RNAcentral describes it as "partial 16S ribosomal RNA". It matches the Rfam family "Bacterial small subunit ribosomal RNA", at positions 29 to 507 of the family's 1533-position model. The record is from RNAcentral.